GGAUUGACUUGUUUGUUGUGGAAAUGAUGAAUGCAACCACGGUAGCUGAUGCUAAGACUCGUGCAGCAAGAGCAUUAGAAGCUUUAGAAAACUCAAUUAGUGCACGUGCUGGUGUUGAUGCUGCACAAAAUUUCCACAAGGAAAAUAUGCAACUGAAGGAACAAAUUGAAGUACUUCUACGAGAAAAUACAAUUCUUAAGCGAGCAGUUGCCAUACAACACGAACGUCAGAAGGAAUUUGAGCAUAAAAAUCUAGAGUUGCAGCACCUUAAACAGAUGGUAUCUCAAUAUCAGGAGCAGCUCAGAACCCUAGAGAUAAACAAUUAU
RNAcentral lists this unclassified non-coding RNA (326 nucleotides) under Hevea brasiliensis (rubber tree). Lineage: Eukaryota; Viridiplantae; Streptophyta; Magnoliopsida; Malpighiales; Euphorbiaceae. The record is from RNAcentral.